RNAcentral lists this transfer RNA (69 nucleotides) under Eurysternus inflexus. RNAcentral's name for it is "tRNA-Gln". It matches the Rfam family "tRNA". Rfam says of the family: Transfer RNA (tRNA) molecules are approximately 80 nucleotides in length. Their secondary structure includes four short double-helical elements and three loops (D, anti-codon, and T loops). Further hydrogen bonds mediate the characteristic L-shaped molecular structure. tRNAs have two regions of fundamental functional importance: the anti-codon, which is responsible for specific mRNA codon recognition, and the 3' end, to which the tRNAs corresponding amino acid is attached (by aminoacyl-tRNA synthetases). tRNAs cope with the degeneracy of the genetic code in two manners: having more than one tRNA (with a specific anti-codon) for a particular amino acid; and 'wobble' base-pairing, i.e. permitting non-standard base-pairing at the 3rd anti-codon position. The record is from RNAcentral. Lineage: Eukaryota; Metazoa; Arthropoda; Insecta; Coleoptera; Scarabaeidae.
UAUAAUUUAGUAUAAGAUGUACAUAAAUUUUUGAAAUUUAAAGAAAUGGUUUAAUUCUAUUAAUUAUAA